GGCCACACUGGGACUGAGAUACGGCCCAGACUCCUACGGGAGGCAGCAGUGGGGAAUAUUGCACAAUGGGCGCAAGCCUGAUGCAGCGACGCCGCGUGGGGGAUGACGGCCUUCGGGUUGUAAACCUCUUUCACCAUCGGCGAAGCCUUCAGCUUUUGUUGGGGGUGACGGUAGGUGGAGAAGAAGCACCGGCCAACUACGUGCCAGCAGCCGCGGUAAUACGUAGGGUGCGAGCGUUGUCCGGAAUUACUGGGCGUAAAGAGCUCGUAGGUGGUUUGUCGCGUUGUUCGUGAAAUUCCCUGGCUUAACUGGGGGCGUGCGGGCGAUACGGGCAGACUGGAGUACUGCAGGGGAGACUGGAAUUCCUGGUGUAGCGGUGGAAUGCGCAGAUAUCAGGAGGAACACCGGUGGCGAAGGCGGGUCUCUGGGCAGUAACUGACGCUGAGGAGCGAAAGCGUGGGGAGCGAACAGGAUUAGAUACCCUGGUAGUCCACGCCGUAAACGGUGGGUACUAGGUGUGGGUUUCCUUCCUUGGGAUCCGUGCCGUAGCUAACGCAUUAAGUACCCCGCCUGGGGAGUACGGCCGCAAGGCUAAAACUCAAAGGAAUGACGG
Molecule: ribosomal RNA, 613 nt
Filed under: uncultured bacterium
Lineage: Bacteria
Description: bacterial SSU rRNA
Rfam family: Bacterial small subunit ribosomal RNA
Source: RNAcentral